AGGGCACCACCAGGAGUGGAGCCUGCGGCUUAAUUUGACUCAACACGGGGAAACUCACCCGGCCCGGACACCGUAAGGAUUGACAGAUUGAUAGCUUUUUCAUGAUUCGGUGGAUGGUGGUGCAUGGCCGUUCUUAGUUCGUGGAGCGAUUUGUCUGGCUUAUUCCGAUAACGAGCGAGACUCUAGCCUACUAAAUAGUUCGCACAUUGUCUCUGUGUGUGUGACUUCUUAGAGGGAUUUUCGGUGUUCAGCCGCACGAAAUUGAGCAAUAACAGGUCUGUGAUGCCCUUAGAUGUCCGGGGCUGCACGCGCGCUACACUGGCAAAAUCAGCGUGCUUGUCCUUCCCCGAAAGGGGUUGGUAAACCCUUGAAAAUUUGCCGUGAUUGGGAUUGGAAAUUGCAAUUAUUUUCCAUGAACGAGGAAUUCCAAGUAAGUGCGAGUCAUCAGCUCGCGUUGAUUACGUCCCUGCCCUUUGUACACACCGCCCGUCGCUGCCCGGGGACUGAGCCAUUUCGAGA
Molecule: ribosomal RNA, 519 nt
Filed under: uncultured eukaryote
Lineage: Eukaryota
Description: SSU rRNA
Rfam family: Eukaryotic small subunit ribosomal RNA
Source: RNAcentral